Molecule: ribosomal RNA, 463 nt
Filed under: uncultured bacterium
Lineage: Bacteria
Description: bacterial LSU rRNA
Rfam family: Bacterial large subunit ribosomal RNA
Source: RNAcentral
AUCAAUCAUAGAGUCACAAAAUAACAUAGUAGUUGAAUGUUCUGGAAAGUUCAGCCAUAGAGGGUGAUAGCCCCUUAAACAAAACUAUGUUGUCUCUAGAAAAUAUCCCGAGUAGCACGGAGUAAGUGGAAUUCUGUGUGAAUCUGUGAGAACCAUCUCAUAAGGCUAAAUACUCUUUCGUGACCGAUAGUGAACCAGUACCGUGAGGGAAAGGUGAAAAGAACCCUUAAGAAGGGAGUGAAAUAGUACCUGAAACCGCAUGCUUACAAACGGUAGUAGGAAGUCUUAUAUCUUCGGAUAUAAGAGGACUGACUGCGUGCCUUUUGCUUAAUGAGCCUACGAGUUGCUCGUACGAUGCAAGGAUAAAUUUCUAAGAAAUGAAUCCGUAGCGAAAGCAAGUCCUAAUCGGGCGAACAUAGUAUCGUGCGGCAGACGCGAACCCGUGUGAUCUACCCUUGGUCAG